This 847-nucleotide ribosomal RNA is filed under the name uncultured bacterium. RNAcentral describes it as "partial 16S ribosomal RNA". It matches the Rfam family "Bacterial small subunit ribosomal RNA", at positions 78 to 919 of the family's 1533-position model. The record is from RNAcentral.
GGCAACCCCGGAGAAUGGCGAACGGGUGAGUAACGCGUAGAUGAUCUGCCUUUUGGUUGGGGAUAGCCUGUGGAAACACAGGGUAAUACCGAAUAAGGUUCGAGGACCUNNNUCCUAGAAAGAAAGGGGCGUAUGCCUCGCCAGAAGAUGAGUCUGCGUCUGAUUAGCUAGUUGGUGGGGUAAAGGCCUACCAAGGCGACGAUCAGUAGCCGGCCUGAGAGGGUGUACGGCCACACUGGAACUGAGAGACGGUCCAGACUCCUACGGGAGGCAGCAGCUAAGAAUCUUCCGCAAUGGGGGCAACCCUGACGGAGCGAUGCCGCGUGAUCGAAGAAGGUCGAGAGAUUGUAAAGAUCUUUUCUGGGUGAGGAAUAAGUGUGGUAGGAAAUGACUGCAUGAUGACGUUAACCCAGGAAUAAGCCCCGGCCAAUUACGUGCCAGCAGCCGCGGUAACACGUAAGGGGCGAGCGUUGUUCGGAAUUAUUGGGCGUAAAGGGCGUGCAGGUGGUCAUGUAAGUCUGUUGUGAAAUCCCGGGGCUUAACUCCGGAGGCGCGAUGGAAACUGUGUGACUAGAAUCUUGGAGGGGGAGUUGGAAUUCCUAGUGUAGGGGUGAAAUCUGUUGAUAUUAGGAAGAACACCGGUGGCGAAGGCGAACUCCUGGCCGAAGAUUGACGCUGAGGCGCGAAAGCGUAGGUAGCAAACAGGAUUAGAUACCCUGGUAGUCUACGCUGUAAACGAUGUACACUNNGUGUUGGCCUGUUUAGGGUCAGUGCCGNNNCUAACGCGAUAAGUGUNNNNNNUGGGGAGUAUGCCCGCAAGGGUGAAACUNNNNNNNAUUGGCGGGGG